GUAUUUUCAUUUCUACUUGAAGUAAAGGAGUUUUAAUAAUUUUUUUUUCAUUUUAAUUUGUUUUCAAUCAUCUGUAAAACUUUUAAAGUAAUAUUCAAAAAUUUAAGCACUCUGGGAUUUGAUGGAUUAAUAAUCAUUUCUAAAAUUA
Molecule: long non-coding RNA, 148 nt
Organism: Octopus sinensis (East Asian common octopus)
Lineage: Eukaryota; Metazoa; Mollusca; Cephalopoda; Octopoda; Octopodidae
Exons: 3
Source: RefSeq, a predicted model, not a curated record